GGGGAAUAUUGCACAAUGGACGAAAGCCUGAUGCAGCAACGCCGCGUGAGGGAUGAAGGCCUUCGGGUUAUAAACCUCUUUCAGUAGGGAAGAAGCGCAAGUGACGGUACCUACAAAAGAAGCACCGGCUAACUACGUGCCAGCAGCCGCGGUAAUACGUAGGGUGCGAGCGUUAUCCGGAAUUAUUGGGCGUAAAGAGCUUGUAGGCGAUUUGUCGCGUCUGCCGUGAAAAUCCGGGGCUCAACUCCGGACUUGCGGUGGGUACGGGCAGACUAGAGUGUGGUAGGGGAGACUGGAAUUCCUGGUGUAGCGGUGAAAUGCACAGAUAUCAGGAGGAACACCGAUGGCGAAGGCAAGUCUCUGGGCCACUACUAACGCUGAAAAGCGAAAGCGUGGGGAGCGAAC
RNAcentral lists this ribosomal RNA (405 nucleotides) under uncultured bacterium. RNAcentral describes it as "bacterial SSU rRNA". It matches the Rfam family "Bacterial small subunit ribosomal RNA", at positions 356 to 773 of the family's 1533-position model. The record is from RNAcentral.